UGGAGGACGGGUGAGUAACGCGUGGAAAACCUGCCGUAUACUGGGGGAUAACACUUAGAAUAGGUGCUAAUACCGCAUAAGCGCACAGCUUCGCAUGAAGCGGUGUGAAAAACUCUGGUGGUAUACGAUGGUUCCGCGUCUGAUUAGCUAGUUGGUGGGGUAAUGGCCUACCAAGGCAACGAUCAGUAGCCGGCCUGAGAGGGUGAACGGCCACAUUGGGACUGAGACACGGCCCAAACUCCUACGGAAGGCAGCAG
RNAcentral lists this ribosomal RNA (257 nucleotides) under uncultured bacterium. RNAcentral describes it as "partial 16S ribosomal RNA". It matches the Rfam family "Bacterial small subunit ribosomal RNA", at positions 96 to 354 of the family's 1533-position model. The record is from RNAcentral.